GAAACAGUAUUUUAAAUCCAUACCGCAUAAAGUGUUGCAUUCUAUUUCCAAUAAAGUGUAGCGUAAGCCUUAACGAAUCGACGCGUAAAUUUUUUGGGAAUAGAAUUUAUUAAAACAAAAAUACAAAAAAUAUAAUAUAGUUUACACACACAAAAAAUGACAAACUACAGUAAACCCCCCAACCUAUAAGGUCAUUUACGAGUGCAUACCCGAUUUUGGGGACAUUUAUGAGUACAUACUCAACGUCGCAAAAAACCUACAAUUUGCCCCCUCCGUUAACGAGAUCUUCAGAAAAUCUAUUAUCUGCCUACGUGGCAUUUGUGGGACCCUUUUUUUAAUUGACGUGGACUCCACAUAAAACAUAAAAUUAAUAAAAUAAAUGAAAAAACAAUAUAUAAAAAAUCUAAAAACCCAAAAAAAAAAAAAAACUUAUCUUCUCUCUCUCUCUCUCUCUCUCUCUGGGUUGAUCUGGGCCAACGUUUGGCCAACGUCUUCGUCAAAGUUGGAAUUGAGUCUCUUCUCUUGUUCGUCCCCUUCGUCUACAAGUUCUUGUUCAUCGACGAAGACCCAUUGCCUUUCCCGAUUGCCCAUCGCACCUCCCGAUCGCCCCGAAAUCUCUCAGCCCUACCUGGGUUUUCGACAUCGACCAAGCCCCAUACCCAGAUCUGUUGCGUGCCUCUAUAGCUUCCUCCAGAUCUGUUAUGUGCCUUUGUAAGUUCCACCUCCGUUAUUAAAUAUUUCUCUCACUUGAAUUUGUUGUUGGGUUUAAAGAGAUUGAGAUUUAAUAAAAGAGUAACAAUGAGGUCCUAACAUUUUAGUUCAACCAUUUGGACUAAUAUGGAGGUAUCAAAAUCACACCCUUGAAAAAAUAGACUCGGAAAUGAGCAGGGCCUUUGGCGGGCAUUUGGGAAAGUCGGGCCAAUCGGGUGUCUUCAUUCAAGCAAUACAGAUCUGCAAUUCUAUUUGUGCUUUCAGCAAAUAGGCGAUGCGAAUCUAUGGUUUCUAUCAAUCUGAAACCAUACCAAUUGUUUUUCAAAACGUGACCAAGUUCUCGAAGUCUAAAGUUGCAGGAGUUGGGGAUUUGAGGGUUGGGCUGUGUUGGUGUUUGGAUGUGGUCACCAAAUUCAAGCCAAGCCAAGUGGUUUUAAUUUCAAACCAAGUCAAGUGGAAACCCAAAGGCCUAGCCAAAACAAAAGAGAUUGUUAUUUAUAAUAGCAAUAGUCAAAUAAUGAAUUGAAUGGCAAGAUCUACAAUGACAGCUAGAAUGGUGAAAGAGAAAUUGCUUACCUGAGUUGAGCUUUUAGCAAGAUGGUUGCUGAAUUUCCAGAAAUGAAUAGUUAGCUGGAUAGUUGUUGAAAUAAAUAGUUGGCUGAAGUUUUGGAGUUGUGGGUGUGGGAACAGACCAUAAAGAUCUUUGUACAAAUGCAAGGCCAAGGUUGGCCCACGUCCCUUGGUUGAAAAAUGGAAUGCUGAAGGCCAACUUUAUGCAUGUUGGUUUGUAGCUUCGGACAAUUCAUAUAUAAUAUAUAUAUAUAUAUAUAUAUUAUAUCCUUUGGUUGAAAAGUUGGCAAAAUGCCAACUUUAUGAUAUCAUAUAUUAUAUUAUAUAUAUGUGAUAGGCCAAUUUCGACUUGGCUGGGAGAGUGAAGGAGGAGUUGGCUGGAGCUUUGGCAGCUGGUCUUGGAGUAGGAUGAUCUUAUGUUGGCUAGAUGGAAUGGAAGUGUUGGCUAAUUUGGGGUCAAUAGAAGUUUUAGUGCGAGUGAAGUUGGGCUCUGUGUGGUUGAGACUUUAUUUAUUAUUUUUGUUUAUUAGGUUGUUCAAAG
This 1822-nucleotide long non-coding RNA is filed under the name Prunus persica (peach). RNAcentral describes it as "long non-coding RNA (PPER_LNC000325)". The record is from RNAcentral. Lineage: Eukaryota; Viridiplantae; Streptophyta; Magnoliopsida; Rosales; Rosaceae.